ACUUAAAUUGAAGAGUUUGAUCAUGGCUCAGAUUGAACGCUGGCGGCAGGCCUAACACAUGCAAGUCGAGCGGUAGCACAGAGAGCUUGCUCUCGGGGGACGAGCGGCGGACGGGUGAGUAAUGUCUGGGAAACUGCCUGAUGGAGGGGGAUAACUACUGGAAACGGUAGCUAAUACCGCAUAACGUCGCAAGACCAAAGUGGGGGACCUUCGGGCCUCAUGCCAUCAGAUGUGCCCAGAUGGGAUUAGCUAGUAGGUGGGGUAACGGCUCACCUAGGCGACGAUCCCUAGCUGGUCUGAGAGGAUGACCAGCCACACUGGAACUGAGACACGGUCCAGACUCCUACGGGAGGCAGCAGUGGGGAAUAUUGCACAAUGGGCGCAAGCCUGAUGCAGCCAUGCCGCGUGUGUGAAGAAGGCCU
Molecule: ribosomal RNA, 422 nt
Filed under: Klebsiella pneumoniae
Lineage: Bacteria; Pseudomonadati; Pseudomonadota; Gammaproteobacteria; Enterobacterales; Enterobacteriaceae
Description: bacterial SSU rRNA
Rfam family: Bacterial small subunit ribosomal RNA
Source: RNAcentral